Molecule: ribosomal RNA, 403 nt
Filed under: uncultured Gymnodinium
Lineage: Eukaryota; Dinophyceae; Gymnodiniales
Description: partial small subunit ribosomal RNA
Rfam family: Eukaryotic small subunit ribosomal RNA
Source: RNAcentral
GCUUGUCUCAAAGAUUAAGCCAUGCAUGUCUAAGUACAAGCCUCAGUAAGGUGAAACCGCGAAUGGCUCAUUAAAUCACACCUAAUCUACUGGAAAGUUACUAGUUACUUGGAUAACUGAGGUAAUUCUUGAGCUAAUACAUGCGCCCAGACCCAACUUUUAGGAAGGGUUGUAUUUAUUAGGUACAGAACCAAUGCAAGCUCCGCUUGACCUUUUGGUGAUUCAUGGUAACCGAACGAAUCGCACGGCACCAGCUGGCGAUGGACCAUUUCAGUUUCUGACCUAUCAGCUUCCGACGGUAGGAUAUGGGCCUACCGUGGCAAUGACGGGUAACGGAGAAUUAGGGUUCGAUUCCGGAGAGGGAGCCUGAGAAACGGCUACCACAUCUAAGGAAGGCAGCAGG